UACGUAGGUGGCAAGCGUUGUCCGGAUUUAUUGGGUUUAAAGGGUGCGUAGGCAGCCCUGUAAGUCAGUGCUGAAAUAUCCCAGCUUAACUGGGAGGGUGGCAUUGAUACUGCGGGGCUAGAGUACAGAUGAGGUAGGCGGAAUUGACGGUGUAGCGGUGAAAUGCUUAGAUAUCGUCAAGAACACCUAUAGCGAAGGCAGCUUACUAGGCUGUAACUGACGCUGAGGCACGAAAGUGUGGGGAUCAAACAGG
RNAcentral lists this ribosomal RNA (253 nucleotides) under uncultured bacterium. RNAcentral's name for it is "partial 16S ribosomal RNA". It matches the Rfam family "Bacterial small subunit ribosomal RNA", at positions 524 to 776 of the family's 1533-position model. The record is from RNAcentral.